GAUGAACGCUGGCGGCGUGCCUAACACAUGCAAGUCGAGCGCUUCACCUCGGCGAAGGGUGGCGAACGGGUCAGAAACGCGAGUGUAACCUGCCUUGCACACAUGCAUAACAUAGCUAACGUUAUACUAAUACGACUAAUUCCGCUUGUAUUGCUUCGUAUAAAAAACCAAGCAUCAGCGGUAAAGGACGGAAGUGCGGCUGAUUCAAGAGUUGGUAAGGUAACGGCUUACCAAGGGUGCGAUCAGUAGCCGACAUGAGGACGUGGUCUAUCACAUUGGAACUGGGAGACGGUCGGAACUCCUACGGAAGGCAGCAGUGGGGAAUACUGCACGAUGCGCGGAAGACGGAUGCAGCAGCGCCGCGUGAGCCAUGCGGGCGUUCGGAUCGUAAAGUGCUGUAAUCAAGGAAGAUAUUGACGGUACUUGAGAAGGAAGCCCCGGCUAACUACGUG
RNAcentral lists this ribosomal RNA (452 nucleotides) under uncultured bacterium. RNAcentral describes it as "partial 16S ribosomal RNA". It matches the Rfam family "Bacterial small subunit ribosomal RNA", at positions 28 to 507 of the family's 1533-position model. The record is from RNAcentral.